UGCCGUCACUUUUUAGCAAUAAAAGGAGGAGGAUGCAGAUACUCUUAAUUAAGUUUAGAGAAAGAGAACAGAAUCGGCGCUAAUAUGU
Long non-coding RNA from Maniola jurtina (meadow brown), 88 nucleotides. RefSeq lists it as uncharacterized. The transcript is spliced from 3 exons. The record is from RefSeq and is a predicted model, not a curated record. Lineage: Eukaryota; Metazoa; Arthropoda; Insecta; Lepidoptera; Nymphalidae.